This 436-nucleotide ribosomal RNA is filed under the name uncultured bacterium. RNAcentral's name for it is "bacterial SSU rRNA". It matches the Rfam family "Bacterial small subunit ribosomal RNA", at positions 29 to 511 of the family's 1533-position model. The record is from RNAcentral.
AACGAACGCUGGCGGCAUGCCUAACACAUGCAAGUCGAACGAGACCUUCGGGUCUAGUGGCGCACGGGUGCGUAACGCGUGGGAUCUGCCCUUUGCUUCGGAAUAACAGUUAGAAAUGACUGCUAAUACCGGAUGAUGUCGUAAGACCAAAGAUUUAUCGGCAAAGGAUGAACCCGCGUAGGAUUAGCUAGUUGGUGGGGUAAAGGCCUACCAAGGCGACGAUCCUUAGCUGGUCUGAGAGGAUGAUCAGCCACACUGGGACUGAGACACGGCCCAGACUCCUACGGGGGGCAGCAGUGGGGAAUAUUGGACAAUGGGCGAAAGCCUGAUCCAGCAAUGCCGCGUGAGUGAUGAAGGCCUUCGGGUUGUAAAGCUCUUUUACCAGGAGUGAUAAUGACAGUACCUGGAGAAUAAGCUCCGGCUAACUCCGUGCCAG